RNAcentral lists this ribosomal RNA (516 nucleotides) under Lactiplantibacillus pentosus. RNAcentral's name for it is "bacterial SSU rRNA". It matches the Rfam family "Bacterial small subunit ribosomal RNA", at positions 45 to 526 of the family's 1533-position model. The record is from RNAcentral. Lineage: Bacteria; Bacillati; Bacillota; Bacilli; Lactobacillales; Lactobacillaceae.
UGCCUAACACAUGCAAGUCGAACGAACUCUGGUAUUGAUUGGUGCUUGCAUCAUGAUUUACAUUUGAGUGAGUGGCGAACUGGUGAGUAACACGUGGGAAACCUGCCCAGAAGCGGGGGAUAACACCUGGAAACAGAUGCUAAUACCGCAUAACAACUUGGACCGCAUGGUCCGAGUUUGAAAGAUGGCUUCGGCUAUCACUUUUGGAUGGUCCCGCGGCGUAUUAGCUAGAUGGUGGGGUAACGGCUCACCAUGGCAAUGAUACGUAGCCGACCUGAGAGGGUAAUCGGCCACAUUGGGACUGAGACACGGCCCAAACUCCUACGGGAGGCAGCAGUAGGGAAUCUUCCACAAUGGACGAAAGUCUGAUGGAGCAACGCCGCGUGAGUGAAGAAGGGUUUCGGCUCGUAAAACUCUGUUGUUAAAGAAGAACAUAUCUGAGAGUAACUGUUCAGGUAUUGACGGUAUUUAACCAGAAAGCCACGGCUAACUACGUGCCAGCAGCCGCGGUAAUAC